AGUUAGGGCCAGAGAGCCUUGAGUUGGAGAGCUGGGGAGAUGGGAGGCUCCGCGACAUGGGAGAGGGACCCUCAGGGACCCUUGAAGCCCACUGGAGACAGCAUGGACAAGGUCUUGUUCUGCAGCUCUGGCCAGCCCCGUGUGAUAAUCCUCCUGCUCCUGCCUCCCGAGCUGGGAUGCCAGGCCUGUACCAACACACCCAGCUUUUGUGUGAGUCCAUCACAGUGAGCAAGACCGAAGGCAGGCAGCUUCCCUUUGUUUGCGGUUGGAAUGCUUAACGGCCGCUGCCGCUGGAAGUGAGUGGCCAGUGGAUUGUGCAAAACCGAUACAGAGAUACAGAGCACGCCCUUCCACCUGGCAUUCCAGCCAGAGAGCUCUCCAGAUAGCACCGUCCCAGAAUGCACUACGCAAAACCAGGGAUAUUUGUCCAGUUUGAUCAUUGCUGUGUGGCAGCGUCCAGUGAAGCACUGCAAAUA
RNAcentral lists this long non-coding RNA (476 nucleotides) under Mus caroli (Ryukyu mouse). RNAcentral describes it as "lncRNA (MGP_CAROLIEiJ_G0005961.1)". Lineage: Eukaryota; Metazoa; Chordata; Mammalia; Rodentia; Muridae. The record is from RNAcentral.